AAAUACAGAAACAGCUCGAGAGAUUUAAAAGCCACGAGGAGUCUAGCUUGUAUCACAGUCUUAUCUGAAUCUCCAACAAAGCCGAUUCGCCAUGAAACUCACUUUGCUGUUCCUCUUGGUCUGCUUGUUCUUAGCAGCAUUUGCAACUGCACAGAAAAACAACAGGCCAAAAACAACCAUUGAAAUUUCACACCAAAGAGAUAAAAGUCCCUACGGGAAAGAAACUCGGCAGACCUUUAAAAUCAACCAAGAUGCAUGGGUGAGCAAAAAUGGGAAUUGGCGUGCUGGUGGCUACGUUCAGCACGACAGGACGAAAUUUAAUGGGCACCGGAUGAAAGAUACCCAUGGUGGUAUUCAAAUCACUGGAAGAUUCUGAAUCUUUUAAAUUUAAUGUCUACUUUUUAUACUCAAUAAAAUUUUUUACUUAAAUA
Long non-coding RNA from Cimex lectularius (bed bug), 431 nucleotides. RefSeq lists it as uncharacterized. Lineage: Eukaryota; Metazoa; Arthropoda; Insecta; Hemiptera; Cimicidae. The record is from RefSeq and is a predicted model, not a curated record. The transcript has 2 exons.